This 433-nucleotide ribosomal RNA is filed under the name uncultured bacterium. RNAcentral describes it as "partial 16S ribosomal RNA". It matches the Rfam family "Bacterial small subunit ribosomal RNA", at positions 29 to 507 of the family's 1533-position model. The record is from RNAcentral.
AACGAACGCUGGCGGCAUGCCUAACACAUGCAAGUCGAACGAGACCUUCGGGUCUAGUGGCGCACGGGUGAGUAACGCGUGGGAACAUGCCCUUAGGUUCGGAAUAACUCCCCGAAAGGGGUGCUAAUACCGGAUAAUGUCUUCGGACCAAAGAUUUAUCGCCUUUGGAUGGGCCCGCGUUGGAUUAGCUAGUUGGUAGGGUAAAAGCCUACCAAGGCGACGAUCCAUAGCUGGUCUGAGAGGAUGAUCAGCCACACUGGGACUGAGACACGGCCCAGACUCCUACGGGAGGCAGCAGUGGGGAAUAUUGUACAGUGGGCGAAAGCCUGAUCCAGCAAUGCCACGUGAAUGAUGAAGGCCUUAGGGUUGUAAAGCUCUUUUACCCGGGAUGAUAAUGACAGUACCGGGAGAAUAAGCUCCGGCUAACUCCGUG